Molecule: ribosomal RNA, 186 nt
Filed under: uncultured Carnobacteriaceae bacterium
Lineage: Bacteria; Bacillati; Bacillota; Bacilli; Lactobacillales; Carnobacteriaceae
Description: partial 16S ribosomal RNA
Rfam family: Bacterial small subunit ribosomal RNA
Source: RNAcentral
AAACGGAUGCUAAUACCCCAUAGGUGGAUUGGUCGCAUGGCGAAUUCAUUAAAGGUGGCUUUGCCACCACUCAUGGAUAGCCUCGCGGCGUAUUAGCUAGUUGGUAAGGUAAUGGCUUACCAAGGCAGUGAUACGUAGCCGACUUGAGAGGGUGAUCGGCCACACUGGGACUGAGACACGGCCCAG